This 320-nucleotide ribosomal RNA is filed under the name uncultured eukaryote. RNAcentral describes it as "partial 18S ribosomal RNA". It matches the Rfam family "Eukaryotic small subunit ribosomal RNA", at positions 1470 to 1796 of the family's 1831-position model. The record is from RNAcentral.
CCCCUAGAUGUUCUGGGCCGCACGCGCGCUACACUGAACAGUUCAACAAGUCUUAACCUUGGCCGAUAGGUCUGGGUAAUCUUUGAACGCUGUUCGUGAUUGGGAUAAACCUUUGCAAUUAUGGGUCUUCAACGAGGAAUUCCUAGUAAACGCAAGUCAUCAGCUUGCAUUGAUUACGUCCCUGCCCUUUGUACACACCGCCCGUCGCACCUACCGAUUGAAUGGUCCGGUGAAAUCUCGGGACGGCGGCUUGGUCGCUUGCGUCCGACUGCUGAAACUUGAUUAAACCAUAUCAUUUAGAGGAAGGUGAAGUCGUAACA